RNAcentral lists this ribosomal RNA (347 nucleotides) under uncultured Lachnospiraceae bacterium. RNAcentral's name for it is "partial 16S ribosomal RNA". The record is from RNAcentral. Lineage: Bacteria; Bacillati; Bacillota; Clostridia; Lachnospirales; Lachnospiraceae.
GGAGUUUGGGCCGUGUCUCAGUCCCAAUGUGGCCGUUCACUCUCUCAAGCCGGCUACUGAUCGUCGCCUUGGUGGGCCGUUACCUCACCAACUAGCUAAUCAGACGCGGGUCCAUCCCAUAGCGCAAAAGCUUUCAAUACAGAAGCAUGCGGAUCUGUAUUACUAUGCGGUAUUAGCAGUCAUUUCUAACUGUUGUCCCCCUCUAUGGGGCAGGUUACCCACGCGUUACUCACCCGUCCGCCACUAAGUCACCCUCGGGUGUGUCCGCUCGUAGCAAGCUACUCACUUCCACGGAUGAGGGUGCUUCGUUCGACUUGCAUGUGUUAAGCACGCCGCCAGCGUUCAUC